UCUCCGUUGGUGAACCAGCGGAGGGAUCAUUAAAGAGUUAGGGACUUCCAAGCCCGUCCUCCCAACCCUCUGCUUAUUUAACCCUGGUUGCUUCGGUGGGUCCGCCUCACGACCGCCGGGGGACGGCCGCGACGCGCCCAAUGCCUCGCACCCGCCGGCAGCCCAACUUUAAAUCCUUUAUGUAUCGCAACACAUUUCACAACGAUGAUUAAAGAUCAAAAAAAAACUUACAACAAAGGAUAUCUGGGGUCCGGCAUCGAGGAAGAAAGCAGCAUAUCG
RNAcentral lists this unclassified non-coding RNA (279 nucleotides) under plant metagenome. Its description in RNAcentral is "partial contains small subunit ribosomal RNA, internal transcribed spacer 1, and 5.8S ribosomal RNA". The record is from RNAcentral.